UGGGGAAUAUUGGACAAUGGGGGCAACCCUGAUCCAGCAAUGCCGCGUGUGUGAAGAAGGCCUGAGGGUUGUAAAGCACUUUUAGUGGGGAGGAAUGCGUAUGCGUGAAUAAUGUAUACGAGUGACGUUACCCAAAGAAAAAGCACCGGCUAACUCUGUGCCAGCAGCCGCGGUAAUACAGAGGGUGCAAGCGUUAAUCGGAAUCACUGGGCGUAAAGAGCGCGUAGGUUGAUAAUUAAGUUGGAUGUGAAAGCCCCGGGCUCAACCUGGGAUGGUCAUUCAAGACUGGUUAUCUAGAGUAUGGUAGAGGGAAGUGGAAUUUCCGGUGUAGCGGUGAAAUGCGUAGAUAUCGGAAGGAACACCAGUGGCGAAGGCGGCUUCCUGGACCAAUACUGACACUGAGGCGCGAAAGCGUGGGGAGCAAACAGG
Molecule: ribosomal RNA, 429 nt
Filed under: uncultured bacterium
Lineage: Bacteria
Description: bacterial SSU rRNA
Rfam family: Bacterial small subunit ribosomal RNA
Source: RNAcentral